Molecule: long non-coding RNA, 628 nt
Filed under: Trifolium pratense (red clover)
Lineage: Eukaryota; Viridiplantae; Streptophyta; Magnoliopsida; Fabales; Fabaceae
Description: long non-coding RNA (TPRA_LNC010070)
Source: RNAcentral
AAAGGGAGACAAUUGUGCAUUAGCUACAAGUGAAAGGACAAUUUAGACAUUUGGCUACUCACACAAUGGGUAAUAAUAUAUGACAAGUUGGAAAGAAAGGACAAUUCAAUUCUCACUCUUCUUCUCUCCUAAAACCAGCGCCCUAUACCUUCUCCAUAAACAAAACUUCAACUUCUUCCAUUUGAAGUGAGUAAAAGCUUUGCAUGUUUGAUCCUCUCUUGUAUUUAUAUCAUUAUAAAAGAAGAAAGAAUCUAUUUUUCCCUUUUCUUCCUCCUUCUCUGUUCCGAUUAGAUCCUUCAUCCCACCAUAACCAUAAGCUUCAAAUCUUCUAUCUACUCAACCUCUCACAAUCAAGCAAAUGUAAGCAUAGAAUGCGCAUACCCAUCAUCAAUGGAAGCUAUUAAAAGUGGUUUAAAGCUCUGAUUUUCCCUUCCUUCUGUCCUGGCCGAAAUCACCUUCAACCAUAAACCCCAAUUUAAUUCUUCAAAAUCUGUGUAUGCAUGCAUGCUUUCCACUCAACCCACAAUCAAUUGAACUCAUUAGAAGAAGCGCCAACCUUUGUGUCUUGGGGUUGUUUGUCUUAUCAUAACCCUUUAUGCCUAAAUUGCCUAAGCAUCCUUGUGUUUUG